UACGUAGGGGGCAAGCGUUGUCCGGAAUUAUUGGGCGUAAAGAGCGCGUAGGCGGUCCGAUAAGUCGGCUGUGAAAGUCAGGGGCUCAACCCUUGAAAGCCGGCCGAUACUGUCGGACUAGAGUCCGGAAGAGGCAAGUGGAAUUCCCGGUGUAGCGGUGAAAUGCGCAGAUAUCGGGAGGAACACCAAUGGCGAAGGCAGCUUGCUGGGACGGUACUGACGCUGAGGCGCGAAAGUGUGGGGAGCGAACAGG
RNAcentral lists this ribosomal RNA (253 nucleotides) under uncultured bacterium. Its description in RNAcentral is "partial 16S ribosomal RNA". It matches the Rfam family "Bacterial small subunit ribosomal RNA", at positions 524 to 776 of the family's 1533-position model. The record is from RNAcentral.